RNAcentral lists this ribosomal RNA (495 nucleotides) under uncultured bacterium. RNAcentral's name for it is "partial 16S ribosomal RNA". It matches the Rfam family "Bacterial small subunit ribosomal RNA", at positions 28 to 507 of the family's 1533-position model. The record is from RNAcentral.
GACGAACGCUGGCGGCGUGCCUAAUACAUGCAAGUAGAACGCUGAAGGAGGAGCUUGCUUCUCUGGAUGAGUUGCGAACGGGUGAGUAACGCGUAGGUAACCUGCCUGGUAGCGGGGGAUAACUAUUGGAAACGAUAGCUAAUACCGCAUAAGAGUAGAUGUUGCAUGACAUUUGCUUAAAAGGUGCAAUUGCAUCACUACCAGAUGGACCUGCGUUGUAUUAGCUAGUUGGUGGGGUAACGGCUCACCAAGGCGACGAUACAUAGCCGACCUGAGAGGGUGGUCGGCCACACUGGGACUGAGACACGGCCCAGACUCCUACGGGAGGCAGCAGUAGGGAAUCGUCGGCAAUGGACGGAAGUCUGACCGAGCAACGCCGCGUGAGUGAAGAAGGUUUUCGGGUCGUAAAGCUCUGUUGUAAGGGAAGAACGAGUGUGAGAGUGGAAAGUUCACACUGUGACGGUAUCUGACCAGAAAGAGACGGCUAACUACGUG